This 497-nucleotide ribosomal RNA is filed under the name uncultured bacterium. RNAcentral's name for it is "partial 16S ribosomal RNA". It matches the Rfam family "Bacterial small subunit ribosomal RNA", at positions 28 to 507 of the family's 1533-position model. The record is from RNAcentral.
GACGAACGCUGGCGGCGUGCCUAAUACAUGCAAGUUGAGCGCUGAAGGUUGGUACUUGUACCAACUGGAUGAGCAGCGAACGGGUGAGUAACGCGUGGGGAAUCUGCCUUUGAGCGGGGGACAACAUUUGGAAACGAAUGCUAAUACCGCAUAAAAACUUUAAACACAAGUUUUAAGUUUGAAAGAUGCAAUUGCAUCACUCAAAGAUGAUCCCGCGUUGUAUUAGCUAGUUGGUGAGGUAAAGGCUCACCAAGGCGAUGAUACAUAGCCGACCUGAGAGGGUGAUCGGCCACAUUGGGACUGAGACACGGCCCAAACUCCUACGGGAGGCAGCAGUAGGGAAUCUUCGGCAAUAGACGAAAGUCUGACCGAGCAACGCCGCGGGAGUGAAGAAGGUUUUCGGAUCGUAAAACUCUGUUGGUAGAGAAGAACGUUGGUGAGAGUGGAAAGCUCAUCAAGUGACGGUAACUACCCAGAAAGGGACGGCUAACUACGUG